Molecule: long non-coding RNA, 1995 nt
Organism: Dicentrarchus labrax (European seabass)
Lineage: Eukaryota; Metazoa; Chordata; Actinopteri; Moronidae
Exons: 3
Source: RefSeq, a predicted model, not a curated record
CGCUUACCCCGCCGUCCAAUGGCAGACGGGCAUUUUAUCAAGCUAUCUCCUCUGAGCCAAUCCCGGGCCUCCCGGUGAUCCCUGUAAACCGGAUGCCCUCCCUCCUGCCUCUCAAACAGACGUAAUCUGUGGAUCGGAGAGGCAGGCAGGCGCUCAGUCGGUGGAGAGUCGGUCUCGGACGGAAGUGAUGAGAGUGAAAAUACCCGCUGUGGCAGACUUGAAGAAACCGCAUCAGUCCACCUCGAGUAAAACAGGAGGAGAAAGGAAGGGGAAAAAAUGUUGUGUUUAUAUUGUGUCUCUUGAUGCUGACUUUAGUGAAUCCAUGAAGAUAAUUUCCAUCAGAUGCUGUUGCGGCCUAUUUUGAACUGGAGAUGAAAGCCUUUGAAUUCCUCUGAUUAAUGAGAUGGUGGUAAUGCAAUAAAGCAGAUCCUCUCAGUUUAUGUUCCAACUUAAACGCACCACAUGAUCAUGUGUAACGUAAUCAGAACCAUCUUUGCCCUGUGGACAGUGGACUCAUUCUGCCACUGUCCUGCGUCAUUAUGUCCCUCUGCUGUGCGACCUGACCUCCGUGGUUUGAGCGAUGUCCUCUGCUCUGUCCCUGUCCCCCGCUUGUCUGUCCUCCCUCCUCCACUCUUCCCCUCCCCCUCCCCUGCUGCCUUUCUGUCAACUCGGCUCCCGCUCACAGCCGCUGUCCCGCUUGCCUCGGUGAACAUUCAACGCUGUCGGUGAGUUUGGUAUGGAUCACAUAAAAACCAUCGACCGUUGACUGUGCCCCGCGGCUUGCUCUGACGACGUCAGGAACGAGCGAAAAAUGAACAAAAGGGCAAGUGGGCGCAUGCAAAUCUCAGAGACGAAGACACACAUGCACAAAAGUGACACUCUGUUUCCACUGUACCCAAAGACCAAAGGUCACAAUCAACAUUCAUUGCUGUCGCUGGGUUGGACUGUGUAGAAAAGCUCACUGAACAAUGAGUGCAACUGUGGCCCAGAUCUGCCUGACUCGUGUCUCAGCCAAUCAGCCGACCGGAUGUGAAACACUCUGAUUUCUUUAUUUAUAUACUUCUUGUUUUUCACUUCUAUUUUCUUCUCUCUUCCUCCCUCCCUGGCGCUAGGAGUCUUCAGGGGGAAGAGAGAGAGAGAGAGAAAGAGAGAGAAAGAGAGAGAGAGAGAGAUAGAGAUAGAGACACAAAUAGACUUCUGGCUGCUUGCUUGUCCUCAUCCUCCUCUUUUCUCCUCUAAUUGGUGGUUAUGUGUGCAGCAAGGGGGAAGGAAGCGGAGUGAAUGUGUAAUCAUUUGGAGUCUUCUCCUUUAGAUGUUUCAUCCCUCUCUUUUUUGUUUGUCUAAUUAUACACUGAGCCCAGUUAACUCUGUGUUAACUGUGCGUCUGUGCUGGCAAGAAUGAACAAGUGACAAAGAGAGGGAGAACAUGGGGAAACGAAAAAGGUAAAAAGAUUAUAGCAAAAUUAUUUUCUAGUUUUUAGAAUAUCUUGUAUAAUAAUUCUUCCUGGUGGCGCUGCAAAAGUGUUAGGAUAUGAGCAAUUUUCAAAUGCAGAAGGAAGAUUGUUUUCACCUUUCAGACUGAGCACUUCUCAUUAUCUGUGUUUGAGUUUCAUGAGAGAAUGUCUGGUUUCCUGUCUGCCUCUGUGUGUGUGUGCGUGUGCGCACGUAUGCUAUGACAGAGGACCUGUCUGCUGAUCUCAGAGUGCAAUAUGUUAUUUUCUUUCUAUACUAAAGCAGCCUGCUCCCUCAUGGGAAAACACAGUCUAUAACCUUGUCUUCCUUCAGACAGUCUGGGACUGGCCAUGCCGCUGCCAUUUCUCAUUGCACCCGUCUGUAACAACUCUCUGACACUGUGCCCCGUAUCUGUAAUUCAUGUAAUGUAAACACACAGUUGAUAUACAGCAUAUGUAGGAAUGUGUUUUAUGUUCUCAUGAAGUGCUGACGCUCGAAAAAAGAUUAAUUCAUUCAUUCAAUAAAGUUAAAUCAGGAUCCAUG